Molecule: ribosomal RNA, 253 nt
Filed under: uncultured bacterium
Lineage: Bacteria
Description: partial 16S ribosomal RNA
Rfam family: Bacterial small subunit ribosomal RNA
Source: RNAcentral
UACGUAGGGUGCGAGCGUUGUCCGGAAUUACUGGGCGUAAAGAGCUCGUAGGUGGUUUGUCGCGUUGUUCGUGAAAACCGGGGGCUUAACCUUCGGCGUGCGGGCGAUACGGGCAGACUGGAGUACUGCAGGGGAGACUGGAAUUCCUGGUGUAGCGGUGAAAUGCGCAGAUAUCAGGAGGAACACCGGUGGCGAAGGCGGAUCUCUGGGCCAUUACUGACGCUGAGGAGCGAAAGCGUGGGGAGCGAACAGG